UGUCACCUGAAUUUCUGACCUUAGC
RNAcentral lists this unclassified non-coding RNA (25 nucleotides) under Mus musculus (house mouse). RNAcentral's name for it is "piRNA piR-mmu-68466239". Lineage: Eukaryota; Metazoa; Chordata; Mammalia; Rodentia; Muridae. The record is from RNAcentral.